GUGCUCGCUUUGGCAGCACAUAUACUAAAAUUGGAAUGAUACAGAGAUUAGCAUGGUCCCUGCGCAAGGAUGACAUGCAAAUUCGUGAAGUGUUCCAUAUUUUA
This is a small nuclear RNA of Otolemur garnettii (small-eared galago), 104 nucleotides long. The record is from Ensembl. NCBI's taxonomy places the organism in Eukaryota, Metazoa, Chordata, Mammalia, Primates, Galagidae.